UACGUAGGGCGCAAGCGUUAUCCGGAAUUAUUGGGCGUAAAGAGCUCGUAGGCGGUUUGUCGCGUCUGCUGUGAAAGACCGGGGCUCAACUCCGGUUCUGCAGUGGGUACGGGCAGACUAGAGUGAUGUAGGGGAGACUGGAAUUCCUGGUGUAGCGGUGAAAUGCGCAGAUAUCAGGAGGAACACCGAUGGCGAAGGCAGGUCUCUGGGCAUAACUGACGCUGAGGAACGAAAGCAUGGGGAGCGAACAGGAAUUAGA
Molecule: ribosomal RNA, 259 nt
Filed under: uncultured bacterium
Lineage: Bacteria
Description: partial 16S ribosomal RNA
Rfam family: Bacterial small subunit ribosomal RNA
Source: RNAcentral